UGUACUGGGUCUUUCCACUUACAGAAGGGAAGAAAGAAGACUGACGUAAACCCUUUGCCAGUUGGGUUAUACCGCCAGAGAAAGGGUUACACACUCAAAAGCUUCCAGAGGCCAGAUACCUGCUAACAUGUCACCUGGAACCAGGCUUCCAUGGAAUCCAGGCUGGGAGAUUCUGUGACGACAUACCCUCUCACAAUGAUAAGCAGCUGUUAAGAUUGGACGUGUCCAUUUGGAGCCCUGAGCUGCCAUGUAAGAAGCCCAGCUGCCCUGAAGCCUCCACACUGAAGAGACCAUCUGGAGAAACCACAGAGGGAUGGAGACACCUGAGGGGCCCCGGGUGGUCCAGCCCCUGUCCUUGAAUUGCUCCCGUGCUGACAGCAGCAGACACAAGCGGCCUCCACUGAAUUCUGUGUAAAUUGC
Hipposideros armiger (great roundleaf bat) is the source of this 420-nucleotide long non-coding RNA. RefSeq lists it as uncharacterized. Lineage: Eukaryota; Metazoa; Chordata; Mammalia; Chiroptera; Hipposideridae. The record is from RefSeq and is a predicted model, not a curated record. The transcript has 3 exons.